UACGGAGGGUGCAAGCGUUAUCCGGAUUUACUGGGCUUAAAGGGUGCGUAGGCGGGCAGUUAAGUCAGCGGUGAAAUCUCUGGGCUUAACCCAGAAACUGCCAUUGAUACUAUCUGUCUUGAAUAUCCUGGAGGUGAGCGGAAUAUGUCAUGUAGCGGUGAAAUGCUUAGAUAUGACAUAGAACACCAAUUGCGAAGGCAGCUCACUGCGGGGUUAUUGACACUGAGGCACGAAAGCGUGGGGAGCAAACAGG
RNAcentral lists this ribosomal RNA (253 nucleotides) under uncultured bacterium. RNAcentral's name for it is "partial 16S ribosomal RNA". It matches the Rfam family "Bacterial small subunit ribosomal RNA", at positions 524 to 776 of the family's 1533-position model. The record is from RNAcentral.